Non-coding RNA from Podarcis lilfordi (Lilford's wall lizard), 67 nucleotides. The record is from the annotation of a GenBank genome assembly. NCBI's taxonomy places the organism in Eukaryota, Metazoa, Chordata, Lepidosauria, Squamata, Lacertidae.
GGAUGGCUCAGUUGGUUAGAGCAUGGUGCUGAUAAUGCCAGGUUUGCAAGUUUGAUCCCCAGCAGCA